Molecule: non-coding RNA, 58 nt
Filed under: Trypanosoma brucei brucei
Lineage: Eukaryota; Euglenozoa; Kinetoplastea; Trypanosomatida; Trypanosomatidae
Source: RNAcentral
AGAGGUCAUGAUAGAGUAGUAGGGUAUCGUGUAUAUGUAGUAGUGAUCUCUUAUAUAU